GUGGAUUAGAUACCCUGGUAGUCCACGCCCUAAACGAUGUCUACUAGGUGUGGGGAGAAUCGACCCUCUCUGUGCCGGAGCUAACGCGUUAAGUAGACCGCCUGGGAAGUACGAGCGCAAGCUUAAAACUCAAAGGAAUAGACGGGGAUCCGCACAAGUGGUGGAGCAUGUGGUUUAAUUCGACGGUAAGCGAGGAACCUCACCAGGGUUUGAAAUCUAGCUGGAGAGCCCAGAAAUGGGAAGUCCUUCGAGGCUGCUAGACCAGGUGCUGCACGGCUGUCGUCAGCU
Molecule: ribosomal RNA, 288 nt
Filed under: uncultured bacterium
Lineage: Bacteria
Description: partial 16S ribosomal RNA
Rfam family: Bacterial small subunit ribosomal RNA
Source: RNAcentral